Molecule: transfer RNA, 72 nt
Organism: Camelus ferus (Wild Bactrian camel)
Lineage: Eukaryota; Metazoa; Chordata; Mammalia; Artiodactyla; Camelidae
Rfam family: tRNA
About the family: Transfer RNA (tRNA) molecules are approximately 80 nucleotides in length.
Source: Rfam
GAGGGUACAGUUCAGUGGUAUAGUGAGUGCUUAGCAUGCACGAGGUCCUGGGUUCAAUCCCCAGUACCUCCA